CAAUACGGGACUCAUCCGAGGCCCCGUAAUUGGAAUGACUACAAUUUAAAUCCUUUAAGAAGGAUCCAUUGGAGGGCAAGUCUGGUGCCAGCAGCCGCGGUAAUUCCAGCUCCAAUAGCGUAUAUUAAAGUUGCUGCAGUUGAAAAGCUCGUAGUUGGAUCUCAGUUAUAGGCAGGUGGUUCACUUUACAGUAUUACUACCUGUACUGAACAUAUUGCUGGAUCUCAUGGGUGCCCUUCACUGGGUGCCCAUUGAGGACAGACGUUUUACUUUGAGAAAAUUAGAGUGCUCAAAGCAGGCGAAUGCCUGAAUAGUUGUGCAUGGAAUAAUGAAAUAUGGCCUCGGUGUUUUUUUGUUGGUUAUGAUGCUCGAGGUAAUGGUUAAAAGGGACUGACGGGGGCAUUCGUAUUGCGGCGUUAGAGGUGAAAUUCUUAGAUCGUCGCAAGACGGACUACUGCGAAAGCAUUUGCCAAGAAUGUCUUCAUUAAUCAAGAACGAAAGUCAGAGGUUCGAAGGCGAUCAGAUACCGCCCUAGUUCUGACCUUAAACGAUGCUAACUGGCGAUCCAGGAGGGGUAUUUAAAUGACCCGCUGGGCAGCUUCUGGGAAACCAAAGUUUUUGGGUUCCGGGGGAAGUAUGGUUGCAAAGCUGGAACUUAAAGGAAUUGACGGAAGGGCACCACCAGGAGUGGAGCCUGUGGCUUAAUUUGACUCAACACGGGAAACCUCACCAGGCCCAGACACUAGAAGGAUUGACAGAUUGAGAGCUCUUUCUUGAUUUAGUGGAUGGUGGUGCAUGGCCGUUCUUAGUUGGUGGAGUGAUUUGUCUGGUUAAUUCCGAUAACGAA
Molecule: ribosomal RNA, 847 nt
Filed under: Candona sp. 2 IK-2020
Lineage: Eukaryota; Metazoa; Arthropoda; Ostracoda; Podocopida; Candonidae
Description: SSU rRNA
Rfam family: Eukaryotic small subunit ribosomal RNA
Source: RNAcentral